CUUUACUGCCUCUCUCCAGCCAGCUCCAGCACUACAGGACAGAGAUUGGAAUUAAAUGUCACGUGGAUAAAAGCCAACAUGGCAUUCUGUUAAGAAGAUAGGCAACCUAAAUGAUGUCUAUCCUGCUUCAACGAAAAAACUCAGGAGGCUGUACACUCAUUUAGAGCAGAGUAGACGAAACCUCCUAUGCUCUGGCUUGGGAACCAGGAGGAAUCACUGACUGAGAUUUGCCAACCAGACUUCUAUGAAGUGAGCUCUAUCACAUGGUACGUUGAUGAGAAGAAGAACCAGCAAUGUUUCUUUCCAUCUUCAACUAUACUAACAAGAUCCAUCUGAUGUCUUGCUUUGACCAGAUCAAGUUCUUUAAGUGACUUUUCCUGGUCUCAAAGAAAGCUUGUUACUGUGGAGAAGCAGGAUAAUGAAACAUUUGGAUUUGAAAUUCAGUCUUACAGGCCCCAGAAUCAGAAUGCCUGCUCCUCGGAAAUGUUCACUUUGAUAUGCAAAAUACAGGAGGACAGCCCAGCUCACUGUGCUGG
Molecule: small RNA, 536 nt
Filed under: Pongo abelii (Sumatran orangutan)
Lineage: Eukaryota; Metazoa; Chordata; Mammalia; Primates; Hominidae
Description: processed transcript
Source: RNAcentral